UGUGCAUUAAACUUGGUGCCUCCAUUGUGAGGUACUAGAAGAAGGCACAUUUGUCUAUCUCAAUCCACAUUAGCAAAAGCAAAUCUUUUUUGUGGUAUUUU
Gavialis gangeticus (Gharial) is the source of this 101-nucleotide long non-coding RNA. RefSeq lists it as uncharacterized. The transcript is spliced from 3 exons. The record is from RefSeq and is a predicted model, not a curated record. NCBI's taxonomy places the organism in Eukaryota, Metazoa, Chordata, Crocodylia, Gavialidae.